Long non-coding RNA from Panicum virgatum (switchgrass), 1316 nucleotides. RefSeq lists it as uncharacterized. The record is from RefSeq and is a predicted model, not a curated record. The transcript is spliced from 9 exons. Lineage: Eukaryota; Viridiplantae; Streptophyta; Magnoliopsida; Poales; Poaceae.
CGCGGCCAGCCUUGGCAGCGGCCCCUCCACCUCGCAAGCCACCACCGCGCGCCUGCCGCUCCGCCUACCAGCCUCCGUCCUUUGCCUUCCUCCUCCAGCUUCGUCUGCACUGCACGCCACCCCACUCACCCUCGCCGCCGGCCUGCCGCACCGCCGCCACCGCCAUGGACGGCCCUCAUAGUGAGUCCUAGCUAGAACACGCCCAUUCCCGCCGCGGGCGCCAUGGUCGCGCUGCCCGCACGGCACCUUUAGCAUCAGCGAGAAGCAGUCCCAAGCCAGGGUAUGCGCAGCCACCCAGGGCACCAGAGACCGCAAGUUGAUGCUAGAGGACGACGUGGAACAGUGCGCAAGUAAAGUGCUCGACGAAAUGUCUUAACUACUUGCUGUUGGUGGUCUUCGCGCAUUCCGCCUAUUGUGGUGAAGAGUCACCGACAUAUGAAGGUUACAAGAUCAAAAGAGCAGGAAAGGAUCAAGACAAGACAAUAGUAACAAAGGGACCUACCAAAAAUUAUCAUUGGGUGCCUCGAUAGUGGAACCACUUAAUAAAGAUUUCUGGGUUACAUUAGGUUCAAUAUCAAGUGAUCUAGCUUCGAAGCAGAAGGGACUCAGGUGACAAGCAAUUGGCAACACAAGCAUUUGAUCGUGCUCGAAGCAUUGAUCCCUCAUUUGCCUUGCCAUGGGCUGGAAAUAUCUCUACAGUUGCCAGUGGACCUGUGAGUUACAAAUGGCUGGGAGUCCCGGUGGGUGCAAUCUGAUUGUAAAAGGAGUGAAGGGAAAGCUGGAAGGUUAAAGCACACGGCCGGAACAUACUCUGGAGAUUCUGAUGCCAAAGAUUUAUUUUUCAUCCCUCGCACAUUUGUGUUUCAAUUGACUAUGAAUACAAACAACAAUGGAUGCUAGGCAUUUUCCUAUCUCAGCGAAGUUCCCACAAUUCAGUAACAAGAACAGGACACUGAUGGUCCAGUACUCCAUCAAGUUUGAGCAGGAUAUCGAGUGCAGUGGUGGAUAUAUUAAGCUUAUGUCCGGUUAUGUCAACCAGAAAAAUUUAGUGGGGACACUCCAUAUAGUGAAUAUGAAUUGCAGCCUCUAUUGUUAGAACUGUGGAUUUUGCUGCUGAGGUACAAGAUGUGCUUAGAAAUCUUAGUGGCAACAGGGAAUCAAUGAAGGGAAUAAAGUCAUGGUUUAUGCAGAGGGCAGAGGGUGCUGUUUGUGUCGGCUCUGCCUCAAGUUCUUAAGGAAAGAGUAUUUGCCUUUGAGGAUUCAGAGGGGCAGCUGCACAUUAUUUUCCUGGUGAAUGAUAUUUUGUUUGAAAGGUA